CGUUUCCUCGCAGCGUGAUUGACGACCUGAGCUCAGCUCGAGUGAGCUGAAUCCGAGGCCGGAGGGGGCUGAAUUUGAGCGUGACUCUGUCAGGACCCUCACCGCCCUGGCGGAUUGCUCAGUGCCAAUCUCAGGUCGUCAUUCGGGCUGCGAAGAAACG
Marchantia polymorpha subsp. ruderalis is the source of this 160-nucleotide non-coding RNA. Lineage: Eukaryota; Viridiplantae; Streptophyta; Marchantiopsida; Marchantiales; Marchantiaceae. The record is from the annotation of a GenBank genome assembly.